UUAGACUGCUCCUCUCUGUUGCCAAACAUUCCGAUUAGAUGACAAUUACCGUGUACACCCCUGCGCAUGUUACCACCAGCGUCUUAAAUUCCCGGCUCCUCCGCUCUCCGCCACGACGGACAUUGUCGACGGCGAGAUAUCACCGCAAUUUUUGCUUAACUUGCGUGUUAAUACCGGAGACAAGGCGGGAAAGCAGACGAUUGGUCAACAUAGCCCUUGGGGUCUUGCUUCAAUGGCUAGCUCUACCUAACGAUGCAGUAGGAGCUAGCCCUUUUGACAAGUAUGUGAAAAGGAAACAGCUUGAUCCACUGGAGGCUUAUGUACCAGCUGUGCUGCUAGCUGGGGUGCAGAUUAAGGAAUUAGAGAAAUCCUUAGAGAUUGAUCAACCUAAAUAUGGAGAUUGCCGGAAUAUAUUGCGUUCUGGUCCUGCAUCAUCUCUUCGUGUCAAUAUUCGAGCAGUAGCACAAUACGCAGCUGAUGGUGGCAAUGGUAAAUUAGCUUUCAGUGAUGUUGAUGAGUGUCUGAGUGCAUUGGAAGGACUUGACUCGUUGCUUUUGCGUGCAUCAAGAAAGGAUCCAGGGGCCUCAAUUGACUCAAUGAAGGCACAAAUUGCUACUGCCUUAAAUGCAUUGGACAGUCUUCUUAAAACUGUCCCAACUGAUGUGCUUGAAAAGGGAAAGUCUGUAGCUGAUUCAUAUUUUUUUGCUGGUGAGGAAGAAGUAGCACCUGAGAGACUGGACCCUGAGCUGAAGCAACUGGAAUCUAUACUGUAAAAAAUUACAAAAGCCUCUUUCUUGAUCAGGUCAAUGUUUUUGCAUUGCUCAUUAGUUGAUGGGCAGAGAGAGUGUUACUCUUUACUCUCUUCAUUGAUGCAGGUCAUUCAAAGUAUUUAAGUAAUUAGUGUUGUUUUAUCUCUCUACUGAAUCGUUUCAUAUAUGCAUAUUUACUAAUGUAAAAAUCACACCAUAUGUACAUUUAAGGCUAUAUAUAUCGAG
This 995-nucleotide unclassified non-coding RNA is filed under the name Hevea brasiliensis (rubber tree). The record is from RNAcentral. Lineage: Eukaryota; Viridiplantae; Streptophyta; Magnoliopsida; Malpighiales; Euphorbiaceae.